UAUUAAAAAUUUCAUCUAUAUUUAUUAUUAAAAACUGGUGUAGCUGACGAGAUAACUAGAUAGUGACACGUGUGCCAUGUGUACCUCAUGUUAACGUAUAAGGACUAAUUUUUAACAGUAGAAAUGAAUAAAAUUUUCAACA
Molecule: non-coding RNA, 142 nt
Organism: Gossypium hirsutum (cotton)
Lineage: Eukaryota; Viridiplantae; Streptophyta; Magnoliopsida; Malvales; Malvaceae
Source: Rfam